RNAcentral lists this transfer RNA (75 nucleotides) under bacterium. RNAcentral's name for it is "tRNA-Gly". It matches the Rfam family "tRNA". From Rfam's summary of the family: Transfer RNA (tRNA) molecules are approximately 80 nucleotides in length. Their secondary structure includes four short double-helical elements and three loops (D, anti-codon, and T loops). Further hydrogen bonds mediate the characteristic L-shaped molecular structure. tRNAs have two regions of fundamental functional importance: the anti-codon, which is responsible for specific mRNA codon recognition, and the 3' end, to which the tRNAs corresponding amino acid is attached (by aminoacyl-tRNA synthetases). tRNAs cope with the degeneracy of the genetic code in two manners: having more than one tRNA (with a specific anti-codon) for a particular amino acid; and 'wobble' base-pairing, i.e. permitting non-standard base-pairing at the 3rd anti-codon position. The record is from RNAcentral. RNAcentral also lists the same sequence under 1 other name.
GCGGGUGUCGUAUAAUGGUUAUUACCUGAGCUUCCCAUGCUCAUGAUGACGGUUCGAUUCCGUUCACCCGCUCCA